This 74-nucleotide transfer RNA is filed under the name Planctomycetaceae bacterium. RNAcentral's name for it is "tRNA-His". It matches the Rfam family "tRNA". Rfam says of the family: Transfer RNA (tRNA) molecules are approximately 80 nucleotides in length. Their secondary structure includes four short double-helical elements and three loops (D, anti-codon, and T loops). The record is from RNAcentral. Lineage: Bacteria; Pseudomonadati; Planctomycetota; Planctomycetia; Planctomycetales; Planctomycetaceae.
GUGAAAGUAGCGCAAUUGGUUAGAGCAUCGGAUUGUGGUUCCGAAGGUUGGGGGUUCAAAUCCCCUCUUUCACC